RNAcentral lists this long non-coding RNA (4109 nucleotides) under Nicotiana tabacum (common tobacco). RNAcentral's name for it is "long non-coding RNA (NTAB_LNC006951)". The record is from RNAcentral. Lineage: Eukaryota; Viridiplantae; Streptophyta; Magnoliopsida; Solanales; Solanaceae.
UGAAAUUUAGUUUUAAAUUAGGGUUGAAUUAGUAAUUACGGUCAUUUCUAUAGAAACACAUGAAUUCACUAAGGGAACACACGUGUCCAUCCGUAUUCAUCUGUGUGUAAAACUCUAUUUUCUCUCAUUUUUUAUUUCAUUGUUCCCCUAUCCCAUUUUCUCAGUCUUCACUCUUUCAGCGAGGCUCUUCGCUUUGGUCUUUUUCUGCAAGCUACUAUUAAUUUGAGCAAACCAUGUGUACUGCACUUAUAUUCAACUAUAGUCUAUAGUAGUACUUCACAUCUCACAAUUUCUCUCUCAUUUAGAAGACCAUCUCUGUUUGUGAGUAUCUUAACUUUCUUAUACUCUUUUCUGUUCUUCAAUUUUUUAAAUUGUAAAUUUUUUUGAUUGAUUGGUUUGUAGUUUCUUAUGUAACUCUAUUGUACUUGUGAAUUUUGGUAGAUUCUACUUUAUUCUCCUUCUUUCUUUGUUGCACCCAUUUCUUGGUGAUGUGAUUUUGAUAGAUCCGGUUUGAUUUUCUUCAUAUCUUAAAAUUUUCUGUUAAAUUUCUUACAUGCAUGUUAGUAAUUUGUAUUUUGCUCACGAUUUUUCAAAAUAGAUACUUAGUGUAUAUGUCAGAAUAUAUAUUUAUUUUUGAUUUGUAGCUAAGAAAUUAGCAAAUUUUGGAGUGAGGCGGCUUUUAAGGGGAGUAGUCCUUGUCAAUGACUACUAUUUUUAGGUGCAACAUUAUUUCAAUUUCGGCUUUAUUCUGGAGAAAUUUAACUCCUGCUAUCAGCUCCUAUAAAAAUGACCCAUAAAUAUGUUAGAUGAUUAUUUUUUAUCUUUAAGGGAGUUUGAAACAACAGACAUAGUUUAGUCACUCCUACCGGUUCUGAAUAUGAGAGGACUCUUUUUUCGUCCACAUAAGAGAUGCUACUCCAUGAAUAGAACAAAGGUUAGAUAAGUGGAUCUGUUGAUGCUAUGCAAUUGAGAAUUUGUUGGUAAAGUUCAUGAGAUAUUUGUGCUUCGACUAACUCCAGUUCGAAGAAGAAUACAGUGUAGUUUGCAAUGACAAUAAACUUAGACUUGAUAUUUAAGGUAGGUUUUCUAUGACUUAAAUAUGUAUGUUAAUUUUUUCUAAUUCUAAAUUAUUCUAUAUAAAAAUAUGAUUUAUUGUAAACUAAAGAAAUCAUUUUAUUGGAAAUAUUUUUUAUUGUUGUUUGUCUUAUUUAUAUGUGCAACAUGUAGACUGAUAUAACAAUCAUGGUGUCAAGUUAAUGGUUUUUAUUGUUCAGUUAGAAAUCUUGAAUCCAAUAAUAUAUAUUAAAAAACUAUUAGAAGAAAGCUAAGUCAAUUGCUAAUAUGAAUCUAGAGGUAAAGUAUUUUCUAUGUUUUUUUUUACUUCAAUACUAAAGUUGCAGCCUUUAUCCAAGAACAACUGCUCAAUACAAAUACAACGCCAAAAUCAGUCACUACCCAUUAUCAGCACACAAAAUAGAACAUUGAAGUUCUUUAUUCAAGAAAAAAAAAAAGCAUAUUCCCUGAUACAAAAGUGCAAGGUGAGCCUUUUAACACCACUGAUUGUUGUAGAUGUUAUCUGUAUUGUAGAAAUUUCCUGAAAUUGCAUGCAUGCCAAUUGUAGCUAUAUGACAAUUUCUCUUUUAAUUUGCAACAUUUUGUUUUUAAAUGUUAAUUUUUUUCUGCACUAUAUUCAAUUGCUUUUCUGGAAUUUAUAGGGAAGUAAAAUUUGAAAAGUAGCAUGGCCUUUUUUCUGCUGCCAAAAUGGAAAAGGAUGAUACUCCUCUAAGAAAGAGAUUGAUGCUCCUCUAGCUGAUGAUCAGGUGCCACUGAAAUCUAUCAUUCAAAAGAGAUAUAUUUUCUCUAUUUGUUACAUUAAGUUUAUUUGAAUUUGAUUGUGCAGCUAAUAUUAAAAUCGUGGAGCCUAAAUUUGUGUUUGAAGAUCAAACUAUUAAAAAUAAUCAACUCUUGGGGUAGUUAAGCAUAUUGAAGUGGAAGUGCAUAUACACCUUGCACUUUUAAUUUUUUACUAAGAAAGGUAGUAGUGAUCAAAUACAACUGUGGUCUUUAUUUUCAUGAUCAACACAAUUGUUACCAAGUAUAAUAAAAGGUUUCACCUUACUUGAGUCUUUUAAUAUGGUGAACCAACUACUACUACUACUACUACAACAUCUGGUCUUUAGAUCUUUAGUGUGUUUAAUUUGGUGAUUGGAUUAUAAUUGAGGGUAGAUGUUGGCUUCAUGGAGCUCAGACCUUCUGAAAUUGCUGAAAUUGCAGCAACACUGGCAAUGUCUAUUUAGUCAUCCAGGGAAAAGCGAGCAAAAAAUAUAUUGAAAGGUUAAUUCAAUAACCUUACUUCCUCAUACAAGUGCAAACAGUAAUUUUCUUUUGUCUUGAUUCUUGAGGUAUUGUUAUAUUCUCUGAUUUAUUUUUGGAGUCUCUGUCCUAUAAUAAUGUGGUAGCAUGAAGCUGGUUUUGAACUUAAUAAGUUGGUUUUCUCUGAGACUAUCUUCCUUUAACUAUGUCUUAUAGCUCUUUAUUGGCUCUUUUUUGAUGGACUAUCUACAUUGAGCAUGUGCAUGUGAGACCCUGUCCUGUGAUUUGAUUUUAUGAAAUAUUGAUAAAUCUGACUCUCCCAAGUAGUGAUUUUUCCAAGAAAAGUAGAUUAAACUGAAAUGGACUUAAAUCUGAGGAUAUAAACAGAGUGAGACCGUAUUUCGAAAGCAAAUGAGAAAAAAAGCAUAAAGGAAGAAAAAAGAAUAAACAUUUCUAGAUUACCAGCAUGCAUAACUGCUUGAUGAUCUUUCAAGCUUUCAAUUUUUGGAAACACUUCUCCGGAUUCGCAGAAGUCGCAUAUUGUUGGCCUAGAGUGGUUCGAUUUUAGUUUACCGAUCAAUAAUUUGUUAAAACUUUCACACUAUAACUACAAAUUCACAGGGAUAUUAAAGAGGAAGAGGAUGAAAAAUAUAAAUUGAAGACAAUAUUUAUAUAGUAAAAUUAUCAUACUGCCUACCUGCUCGAACCAACUAUCAUGUGACACUAUAACAUCUUUCAAAAUUGCAUGCCUUAGGGAGUAGCAUCAUGAGUGGGACUAGCAUUCUUUUGAUAUAGCAGAGCUCAAAAGAGACCUCUAGGAUGUUGAAUUGUGAGAAGUUUUCUUUCUUAGAAGGCUAAACUGCUGCUUUUUGUGAAAUUAUCGGCUCCGUGAACUACUUUUCUGUUUCCAUGGACAACAUCCCUAAACCUUACUUGGAAUAAGCUGCUACAACAUUGGAGGUUGUAGGGUUCUUGGAUGGGUCACAAACUAUUGAGCUUUUGAUCUGCUGGGCAGUUAAAAGUUACUGAAUUGAUCCCAUGAAGAAGGUUAUUUCUACUGCUACUAGAGUACCAUAAAUAGUAGGGCUAGAUAAUGGAGAAGAGGUAAAAUUGGCGUAGAAGAAGAAUCUUCCUCCUCCAUGGAAGACAAAGGUUUUUGAUUUACUUUGUUACCUCAUAGGACAUUGUUUCUUUCUUUGUUAAUGGGAAGGAUAGAACUGCGGUUGAAGGAGAGGCUUGGCCAAAUCUAUAAAUUUUCCAGCGUUCUUUGUCAUGGCUUCAGUGGUAUUUGAUAAAUGUUAUUUUUCGCAUAUAUGAUGAUAAAAAAGUCGAAUAAACAAGAAACUUUAUCUGAUGUCUUACCCAAAAUAUUGAUCUCUGUAUUGCUUGUGUGCGUCUCUGACCAUGUGCACUUCUAAUUCUUAAUGUCAGGUGGAGAUUUUUGUGGUGAUAUUGUUUCUUUCACAAUGAUGUUAGACUUUGGACCAUAUAGCAGUUUGUUUUGUUUUCCUAUGUAUAAUGUAAAGAAAAGGUUUGGAUAAUUUUUGUUUAAAAUGCAUUGCAGGUUACACUGAAACGGGAGAAAAAAGUUCAAGUUAUCCUAAAAAGUUCUCAUCACAUGUAUUUGAAAUUUCAAACGGAUUAUGGUUUCAGAUGAACAGAAACAGAGUUGUAUCAACUUUAGAAGAUAUAUUUUGUUUUUAAACUCUCAAAUUUGCAUAAUUUUAACUUAAGUGAUGGUGCAUGAAAUAAUUUUUUUAUCGUGCAGUAAUAUAGUGUUCUUCAAAAGGUUGGGU